RNAcentral lists this ribosomal RNA (353 nucleotides) under uncultured bacterium. RNAcentral describes it as "bacterial SSU rRNA". It matches the Rfam family "Bacterial small subunit ribosomal RNA", at positions 30 to 383 of the family's 1533-position model. The record is from RNAcentral.
AUUGAACGCUGGCGGCAUGCCUUACACAUGCAAGUCGAACGGCAGCGGGCCUUCGGGUGCCGGCGAGUGGCGAACGGGUGAGUAAUGCAUCGGAACGUGCCAUUGAGUGGGGGAUAACGUAGCGAAAGUUGCGCUAAUACCGCAUAUUCUGUGAGCAGGAAAGCAGGGGACCGCAAGGCCUUGCGCUCUUUGAGCGGCCGAUGUCAGAUUAGCUAGUUGGUGAGGUAAAGGCUUUACCAAGGCGACGAUCUGUAGCGGGUCUGAGAGGAUGAUCCACCACACUGGAACUGAGACACGGUCCGGACUCCCUACGGGAAGGCAGCAGUGGGAAUUUUGGACAAUGGGGGCAACCC